CACAAAUUGUGCAAUUUCAAUAUGGUUAUGUCACGUAGCAGUUUUGUAUCAGUGUGACCGUUAAAAUACGUUUUAUCAGUGUUUUCAUUUUAACUUUCUGGCGCCAGUUUUACCAGGCAGGCGGGCCGCGUCAUGUUACCUAUGUAACUUGUCGGAGUUUUCAGCGUCUUGUAAACGCUGUAUUUGUAUGUUUAGGAAGCAGAGGUAAUGUAAGAGGAGGCCAGGGGGCAAUUGAUGUGUGCAUUGUGUUCUGCAGAUGUGCGAGCCAAUAAAUCGUGGAAAAGAAGUGA
Micropterus salmoides (largemouth bass) is the source of this 290-nucleotide long non-coding RNA. RefSeq lists it as uncharacterized. NCBI's taxonomy places the organism in Eukaryota, Metazoa, Chordata, Actinopteri, Centrarchiformes, Centrarchidae. The transcript has 2 exons. The record is from RefSeq and is a predicted model, not a curated record.